This 460-nucleotide ribosomal RNA is filed under the name uncultured bacterium. Its description in RNAcentral is "partial 16S ribosomal RNA". It matches the Rfam family "Bacterial small subunit ribosomal RNA", at positions 338 to 795 of the family's 1533-position model. The record is from RNAcentral.
CCUACGGGAGGCAGCAGUGAGGAAUAUUGGUCAAUGGGCGCGAGCCUGAACCAGCCAAGUAGCGUGAAGGAUGACUGCCCUACGGGUUGUAAACUUCUUUUAUAAAGGAAUAAAGUGAGGCACGUGUGCCUUUUUGUAUGUACUUUAUGAAUAAGGAUCGGCUAACUCCGUGACAGCAGCCGCGGUAAUACGGAGGAUCCGAGCGUUAUCCGGAUUUAUUGGGUGUAAAGGGAGCGUAGAUGGGUUGUUAAGUCAGUUGUGAAAGUUUGCGGCUCAACCGUAAAAUUGCAAUUGAUACUGGCAGUCUAGAGUACAGUUGAGGUAGGCGGAAUUCGUGGUGUAGCAGUGAAAUGCUUAGAUAUCACGAAGAACUCCGAUGGCGAAGGCAGCUUACUAAACUGCAACUGACAUUGAUGCUCGAAAGUGUGGGUAUCGAACAGGAUUAGAUACCCGUGUAGUC